Molecule: long non-coding RNA, 1445 nt
Filed under: Anas platyrhynchos platyrhynchos (common mallard)
Lineage: Eukaryota; Metazoa; Chordata; Aves; Anseriformes; Anatidae
Description: lncRNA (ENSAPLG00000030627.1)
Source: RNAcentral
CCCCCAGGGUUAGCUGCCCGUGGCUGGUGAGCACCCAGUCCGCAGGCACAGGAGCGCACCUCGCUGGUCAGGGGCGCACCAGGCUGGGGACACUUCUCCUCACCAUCAUGGGCACAGCCCUGUGCUGAAUGCCGGUGCCAACCAGCUGGGAUUGAGGAAACAGUGCUUUUUGGAGGGCAUUUCUGACAACUGGAAAUACUUACAUGAUCCAUGGUCCUGGAGGAGUUGGGCACAUCAAGCUGCGAUGGAUGACCACACUGCAUGUGGAGGUGGAAAACUCUACUGGAGAACUUGUUGCAAGGCUACAGGUUCUUCUGUGGGUGUUUCUUUACACGAUCUAAGGAAGUUAAGAUCUGAAAGAGGAGACAGGACAAUUGAAGUCUGGUGUUCUCAUUCAGAAAAGCAUUUAAGCAUAUCUUGGAGAUUUUAUAAUAGGCAGUGCCUAAGGGCAUCAGCAAAUGGCAGUAAAUAAUGUUAGGAAAGGGAUGGAGAAGACAUCUGCAGACGCUGCUGUCCCACUGGGCACAGGCAGACCCUGACAUCCUCAUGUCUGGAUUUGUGUGGACUGCUGUGGUCCUCUCAUCUCCUAACGGCCAGGAGAGCUGGAGGCUGGUCACUGAAAGCUGAUCAAAGAUGCUGGAAAUGACCAAGUGGGUUUGGGCUUCCAGGCUGGCUGGGAGACAGCUGAGGGCUGUAACAGAGGCUGCAGGUGGAAGCCAGCUCAGGCCUCCAGGUGCCUUUCAGGAGUCGAUUAUUCCCUGUUCCUAUGCAAGGACCAGAGGGCACUAUGCUUGCAGAAGGCAAGGCUCGGAGCAGGCAGGCACAAAGUGCUUCCCUCACACAAGAGGUAGCUAAACUGUGCUCCUCCUCGGUGCCACAAGUUUGUGCGGGUUCAAAUGGCAGCUGAGCGGGAUCGCUGAUGAGAUGAAGGCUAUUAAAUACAAAGGACUGACCUCUGCCUCAGGAAAUCCCUCAGCUGCAAAUAGUCAAAUUGCUGGGAAAGUGUUCUGGGGAAAUAUCACUGGAUGUUUGCUCUGUGCUUAAACUCUUCCCUGAGAUAGAUGGCUCUUUGAUAUAAGCCGGGACAGCCAUUCCUGUGCUUUGUUCAGGGCUUAUGUAUCUGUUCCUGGCAACUGACUUCAGUGGGAAUUAAACACCGCCGAAGUGGGCUCUGAGUGUAUUUCCUUGCACUCCGAGGUGAGGGUGAGCUGUUGGAAGGCGAUGUCCUCUUCCCUUUUGUUUUGUCCUGUUGGAGUCUCCCUGAUCAGGUCAAACUUUAGUGAGCUCACGUUCAAACCACGAGCGGUGAUACAGAACUCAGGCUGAGUAGAAGAUGAUGAGAAAGAAAAAAUGCAAGUACCAACAAAAUUAUAUCUACUGGAUGUUGUGUAUUUGUGCAUAUAGCAUGUGCGGUUAAAAUAAAAGUGAAUGCGAGAUUGUUAGCA